This 2675-nucleotide long non-coding RNA is filed under the name Salvia miltiorrhiza (redroot sage). RNAcentral describes it as "long non-coding RNA (SMIL_LNC006022)". The record is from RNAcentral. Lineage: Eukaryota; Viridiplantae; Streptophyta; Magnoliopsida; Lamiales; Lamiaceae.
ACCAAUUAUAUUUAGAUCCUCAAAGAUUUAGAUAAUAUUGAGGCAUGUGAGCUCACCACAAAAACCAAGAAACUCCCCCCUUUUUCUCCUUCAAAUUUUCGGUCCCUCACACUUUCUCUUUUUCUCCUCUAUUUUAGCUAAGGAAAAUGCUUCCAAGACUUCAUCUUUUCACACCCAAAAGCUAAGAAGUGCCUCAAGCCUUUCCAAGCUUCAAAGUUCAAGCAUCAAGUAGGAAAAGCUUCAAGGAAUCCUAAGCAUCAUCAACUCCAUUAUCCAUUGAUUUCUUGGAGUAAGCUUCUAGUCUUCUUUUUGUGCAUGUAUAGAUAUAAUAUGAGUUAUGCAUGUGUGUUUUGAAGCAUGAAAAAAUUCUUCCCCUCAUAUUCAUGCAAUUUUCGGAAAAAAUGGCCCUUGAGGAAGCAAGAAAAUUUUCAAGUUACUCUUCAACCUAUGAGUUUUAUAUUUUUUUCCUUUUUUUUUUUUUUGUAUUCAAAGAAGAAAAAAAAAUUCAUUAAAGAUGAAGUUAGGCAUCAGAAAUGCCCAAAAGCUUAGUGACAAAGCAAACUCGAUAACUCGCUAGAACACCAGGAUGAAAAGGAAUCCUUCCAGUCUAUCGUUUCAAAGAUAGUGUUCCAACUCCACAUUCUUGUUUUUAUUUCUAAACUUGUACUUUUGAUCUCCCAUACCUUUCCGUCAAAACAACUCUCAUUACUUCGUCUCCACAGCACCCAAAUCGUGCAGCUCCAUAAAGCCUUCAGAAACCGGUGACUUUUCUUUCCAUGUCCCAUGAGUUUUAUAUCUCUAUAUGAUUAGAUGCAUUUAAGUUGAAUAUGAGCUCUUGAACACCUAUAUUUUGGCUACAUGUUAUGAUAUGUGAUGCAUGAUGAGUUUUAGUAUGAGAAGUGUGUGGUUGGAGUGAAUGAUAGAUUUAUGAUGAGAUAUGUGAAGUAGGCUUUGAAAGUUGAAAGUUUUGGUUUUCACCAUUUGAGAGUUUUAAAAUAGCUACUGACCUACUGAUUCGACGGGGUUUUUGUUACUCAAAAAUCUUGAAAAUUUUAUGAUGCGUAGAUAGGAGUGUCGUGAACAUGCAUGUAAAAUAUCAAGUCAUUUGGACUUCAUUUACUACCUUUUUAAAAUACAAAACUCCUACUUCCAGUUUCUGCCAAAAUUUUCGGAAGGCAGACCCUUGAGUCAUCAUUUUCUGUUCCUUUCUACCACUCUAUGCUUAUAAACUUUUUAGGGUGGGAAGAUACAUGUGUCGGGUAUCUACAUACCAAAAUUCAGGCAAUUUUUAGCAAUGUUUACUAUUUUUCUAAAAAUCAAAACUUCCAAUUGCCCGAAUCUGGUAGACGGUGGGAAAAUGGCCAUAUCUUUUGAACCACUUGGAAUUUUUUAGCCUACUUUUUUUUAAAAGCAACUAGACUUAGAGAUCUUUCCAGUGAUAUAAAUUUCGAACCCAGAAGAGUUCUGAGUGAAAGCAGUUUAUUCUCCAAAGUUGAGUCAGUGCAGAGGUAGUGAGUGUGGUUGUUCCAGAUUUUGUACUUGUGUCAUUCAUAUGUAGUUUUAUUAAUGUGUGAAUGACUUAUGUGGACUAUUUGAGUGCUAUUCACCUAUAGAAUUGAGAGCCUUAUAGUUGGGCAAAGAUGUCCCCUACUUGAGAAGUCCACUUGGGUAAUUAGUAAAAGGGUUAUAAGAUAAGGUUGCAGCUUAUGAUAAGGGUAUAGUGUGGAGAUUGAGUUAGAUUGGUUUUUAACUAUAAUUCAUUUUGUCACAUGGAAACCUCAACGACGCCAAUCACUAAAGGUAUGAGUGACAACCGACGUUAGAACGACGCCGAGCUCUACUUCACCGACACCGAAGACAAGUGGGUUUACUUUCAUAUAUAUAUCAAAUGAUUUAAAUGUUACAUUUGAGCAAGUUAUUUCAUUGCAAAAUCUUUGAAUUGAAAAUUAUUUCUAACUAUUUUCUUGUCCAUAAAUGUUUCAAUUUAGUAUGAUAUCUAUCUGCAAUUAUGUAAUCGAUUACGGGUCUUGAUCAGUUGAUAGCUAUCCUGUUAGGCUAGUGUACACCAGUGACCGUGAGUCAUCAAGCGGGUUGGCCGGUCAAGUGUCCGUGAGAGGUGGCCACCUCUUCGGCACAGAGCUUAAGAUAUAAUAGAUUAUAAGAGAAUUUAAACUGCAGUCGAACUUAAGAAUCACAAAUGAUUUUCAUUAGGCUUGGGCUCCUUGAACGAAAAAUUCCUUGGUGUACUGUUUAUGAUGGCUUGACAAUUUACAGUCUUAUGAAGCAUGUAUCUAUAUACUUUGGCGUACGCGCCCACUGGGUACUUUUGUUCUCAGCCCUGCAUAUAUUUCUAAAUGUGCAGGUUGAGCAGCUGACGGUGGUGAUGAAGUGAUGAGCGAGAUCUCUUUUGUCUUAGUUUAUGUAUUAAUGAACUCUGAGGAUACAUGUCUUCAUAUAUGUAAUCAGAACCUUUAUUCCGCUAUGUACUCAGAAGUCUUAUGAUAUUUUGGCUAAGUCGGAGUUAUCCGAACUUACUAGUUAUUUGGGUCAUGUGACCAAACAUCUGUUAUAUUAAAAGUUUCCCCUUCGUUAACAGUAUUUAAAUAUGAUUUUCCAUUAUUUAUUUACCCCAUUUUUAUCCCCGCUUCUAACCUCUCUCCCUUAGUCACGGUUUC